This 503-nucleotide ribosomal RNA is filed under the name uncultured bacterium. RNAcentral describes it as "partial 16S ribosomal RNA". It matches the Rfam family "Bacterial small subunit ribosomal RNA", at positions 30 to 523 of the family's 1533-position model. The record is from RNAcentral.
AUUGAACGCUGGCGGCAGGCUUAACACAUGCAAGUCGAGCGGGGUGAUGGUGCUUGCACUAUCACUUAGCGGCGGACGGGUGAGUAAUGCUUAGGAAUCUGCCUAUUAGUGGGGGACAACAUCUCGAAAGGGAUGCUAAUACCGCAUACGUCCUACGGGAGAAAGCAGGGGAUCACUUGUGACCUUGCGCUAAUAGAUGAGCCUAAGUCGGAUUAGCUAGUUGGUGGGGUAAAGGCCUACCAAGGCGACGAUCUGUAGCGGGUCUGAGAGGAUGAGCCGCCACACUGGGAAUGGGACACGGCCCAGACUCCUACGGGAGGCAGCAGUGGGGAAUAUUGGACAAUGGGGGGAACCCUGAUCCAGCCAUGCCGCGUGUGUGAAGAAGGCCUUAUGGUUGUAAAGCACUUUAAGCGAGGAGGAGGCUCUUUUGGUUAAUACCCAAGAUGAGUGGACGUUACUCGCAGAAUAAGCACCGGCUAACUCUGUGCCAGCAGCCGCCGUAA